Molecule: ribosomal RNA, 429 nt
Filed under: Bacteroidota bacterium
Lineage: Bacteria; Pseudomonadati; Bacteroidota
Description: Bacteroidetes bacterium partial 16S ribosomal RNA
Rfam family: Bacterial small subunit ribosomal RNA
Source: RNAcentral
UAGGGAAUCUUCCGCAAUGGACGCAAGUCUGACGGAGCAACGCCGCGUGAGUGAAGAAGGAUUUCGGUUCGUAAAACUCUGUUGUUAGAGAAGAACAGCGCAUAGAGUAACUGUUAUGCGUGUGACGGUAUCUAACCAGAAAGCCAUGGCUAACUACGUGCCAGCAGCCGCGGUAAUACGUAGGUGGCAAGCGUUGUCCGGAUUUAUUGGGCGUAAAGCGAGCGCAGGCGGUCAAUUAAGUCUGAUGUGAAAGCCCCCGGCUCAACCGGGGAGGGUCAUUGGAAACUGGUUGACUUGAGUGCAGAAGAGGAGAGUGGAAUUCCAUGUGUAGCGGUGAAAUGCGUAGAUAUAUGGAGGAACACCAGUGGCGAAGGCGACUCUCUGGUCUGUAACUGACGCGGAGGCUCGAAAGCGUGGGUAGCAAACAGG